CACUAAGAAGCUAUAGGAUCAGCAGCAGCCUUUUAAGCUGCGGAUAGGUGAUUGCCCGCCCACCCUUAGUGA
This 72-nucleotide transfer RNA is filed under the name Bokermannohyla alvarengai (Santa Barbara treefrog). Its description in RNAcentral is "tRNA-Lys". Lineage: Eukaryota; Metazoa; Chordata; Amphibia; Anura; Hylidae. The record is from RNAcentral.